RNAcentral lists this unclassified non-coding RNA (298 nucleotides) under uncultured Mycenaceae. RNAcentral describes it as "sequence contains ITS2". The stretch from base 1 to 52 matches the Rfam family "5.8S ribosomal RNA", at positions 103 to 154 of the family's 154-position model. Lineage: Eukaryota; Fungi; Basidiomycota; Agaricomycetes; Agaricales; Mycenaceae. The record is from RNAcentral.
AACGCACCUUGCACUCCUUGGUAUUCCGAGGAGUAUGCCUGUUUGAGUGUCAUUAAAUUCUCAAAUCUCAUCAGUUUUAUAACUGACUUGAGACUUUGGAUGUGGGAGUUGCAGGCUUCUCAGAAGUCUGCUCUCCUUAAAUAUAUUAGUGGUUACUGUUUGACCAUAUCCUGGUGUGAUAAUAUCUACUCCAAGGGUUGGUUAAUACUUUAAAGGUAGCUGCUUCGAACGGUCUAUUAACUUGGACAACUUUGAACCAUUUGACCUCAAAUCAGGUAGGAUUACCCGCUGAACUUAA